CUAUCAUUGCAGAGCUGAGCUUUACUCUUCUCUCCCCCUCUUAUUCUGCUAAGGACCAUCUCAAACUUGACCAAGAAAUGGGCAAUUCCCAUUUAUCUGCUGUGCUGGUUUUGUGUUGGCUGAGGACCCUGGAUGGACUCCAUCAAGUCAUGUGCUCUGUACCCAUCUGUGCCACUGGCCUUCUUCCAGCUGGAUAUGCUACCUUCAGGCCAUUUUCAAUGUCUGUGUGGAGAUGCUGGACAUUUCUGGCUCCUUUUACCUCGGGUUGAGGAGAGACAGGUUGCCCAAAGCAGCUGCUCCUGGCAAUCCUCGUUGUCAUCCUGACAGAGACAGAGCAAGGAAGAUGUGGCUCCAAGAAUUGCCCAGAGCCAGCUGGUUGGAAGAGGUAAUUAACCAUUUUUGCAAACUCUGAGAUGCUGGAGCCA
Molecule: long non-coding RNA, 425 nt
Filed under: Parus major (Great Tit)
Lineage: Eukaryota; Metazoa; Chordata; Aves; Passeriformes; Paridae
Description: lncRNA (ENSPMJG00000005825.1)
Source: RNAcentral